This 539-nucleotide ribosomal RNA is filed under the name uncultured bacterium. Its description in RNAcentral is "bacterial SSU rRNA". It matches the Rfam family "Bacterial small subunit ribosomal RNA", at positions 1 to 533 of the family's 1533-position model. The record is from RNAcentral.
UAGAGUUUGAUCAUGGCUCAGGACGAACGCUGGCGGCGCGCUUAACACAUGCAAGUCGAGCGAGAACCGGUCCUUCGGGACCGGGGAAAGCGGCGAACGGGUGAGUAACACGUGGGCAACCCACCCUUGGUACUGGGAUAGCCCGGGGAAACCCGGAUUAAUACCGGAUGGCCCAGCAGCUCUUCGGGGCGGCUGGAAAAGGGAGCUUCGGCCUCCGACCAAGGACGGGCCCGCGGCGGAUUAGCUUGUUGGUGGGGUAACGGCCCACCAAGGCGACGAUCCGUAGCUGGUCUGAGAGGACGAUCAGCCACACUGGGACUGAGACACGGCCCAGACUCCUACGGGAGGCAGCAGUGGGGAAUCUUGCGCAAUGGGCAAAAGCCUGACGCAGCGACGCCGCGUGGGGGAAGAAGGCUCUCGGGUUGUAAACCCCUUUCAGGAAGGACGAAGCUCCUCGGGUGAAUAGCCCAGAGGGUGACGGUACUUCCAGAAGAAGCCCCGGCUAACUACGUGCCAGCAGCCGCGGUAAUCCCAAUCGC